AAUAAGCUAAAUAAGGGCGUAUGGGGAAUGCCUAGGCUCUCAGAGGCGAAGAAGGACGUGAUAAGCUGCGAAAAGUUGCGGGGAUUGGCACAUACAAAUUGAUCCGCAAAUAUCCGAAUGGGGCAACCCACUAUGUUGAAGACAUAGUACCUAGCAAUAGGAGUGAACCCGGGGAACUGAAACAUCUAA
RNAcentral lists this ribosomal RNA (189 nucleotides) under uncultured Flavobacteriaceae bacterium. Its description in RNAcentral is "partial 23S ribosomal RNA". It matches the Rfam family "Bacterial large subunit ribosomal RNA", at positions 1 to 205 of the family's 2925-position model. The record is from RNAcentral. Lineage: Bacteria; Pseudomonadati; Bacteroidota; Flavobacteriia; Flavobacteriales; Flavobacteriaceae.